Molecule: ribosomal RNA, 440 nt
Filed under: uncultured bacterium
Lineage: Bacteria
Description: partial 16S ribosomal RNA
Rfam family: Bacterial small subunit ribosomal RNA
Source: RNAcentral
CCUACGGGUGGCAGCAGUGGGGAAUAUUGCACAAUGGGGGAAACCCUGAUGCAGCGACGCCGCGUGAGUGAAGAAGUAUUUCGGUAUGUAAAGCUCUAUCAGCAGGGAAGAAAAUGAAGGUACCUGAUCAAGAAGCCCAGGCCAACUACGUGCCAGCAGCCGCCGUAAUACGUAGGGGGGAAGCGUUAUCCGGAUUUACCGGGGGUAAAGGGAGCGUAGACGGCAGCACAAAUCAGGAGUGAAAUGCCGGGGCUUAACCCCGGAACUGCAUUGGAAACUGUUUAGCUAGAGUGCAGGAGAGGUAAGUGGAAUUCCUAGUGUAGCGGUGAAAUGCGUAGAUAUUAGGAGGAACACCAGUGGCGAAGGCGGCUUACUGGACUGUAACUGACGUUGAGGCUCGAAAGCGUGGGGAGCAAACAGGAUUAGAUACCCGGGUAGUC